This 468-nucleotide ribosomal RNA is filed under the name uncultured bacterium. Its description in RNAcentral is "partial 16S ribosomal RNA". It matches the Rfam family "Bacterial small subunit ribosomal RNA", at positions 28 to 507 of the family's 1533-position model. The record is from RNAcentral.
GACGAACGCUGGCGGCGUGCUUAACACAUGCAAGUCGAACGGAAAGGCCCUGCUUUUGUGGUGUGCUCGAGUGGCGAACGGGUGAGUAACACGUGAGUAACCUGCCCUUGACUUUGGGAUAACUUCAGGAAACUGGGGCUAAUACCGGAUAGGAGCUCCUGCUGCAUGGUGGGGGUUGGAAAGUUUCGGCGGUUGGGGAUGGACUCGCGGCUUAUCAGCUUGUUGGUGGGGUAGUGGCUUACCAAGGCUUUGACGGGUAGCCGGCCUGAGAGGGUGACCGGCCACAUUGGGACUGUGAUACGGCCCAGACUCCUACGGGAGGCAGCAGUGGGGAAUAUUGCACAAUGGGCGGAAGCCUGAUGCAGCAACGCCGCGUGCGGGAUGACGGCCUUCGGGUUGUAAACCGCUUUCGCCUGUGACGAAGCGUGAGUGACGGUAAUGGGUAAAGAAGCACCGGCUAACUACGUG